RNAcentral lists this small RNA (131 nucleotides) under Oleiphilus sp. RNAcentral describes it as "Guanidine-I sequence". It matches the Rfam family "Guanidine-I riboswitch aptamer". From Rfam's summary of the family: This family represents a conserved RNA structure found upstream of the ykkC and yxkD genes in Bacillus subtilis and related genes in other bacteria. The function of this family is unclear although it has been suggested that it may function to switch on efflux pumps and detoxification systems in response to harmful environmental molecules. Nelson showed that this riboswitch senses and responds to guanidine and it was renamed Guanidine-I riboswitch. The record is from RNAcentral. Lineage: Bacteria; Pseudomonadati; Pseudomonadota; Gammaproteobacteria; Oceanospirillales; Oleiphilaceae.
UAAAUAGAACGCUAGGGUUCCGGUUAAGCACAUAGGGCAAACAGCCAAUCGCUUAACGACUGGUCCGAGAGCAUUCGACCUCUCCUCUGAAAAGAGCAUGGGUUACACGGCGGGAUAAAAGCCCGGGAGAC